CGUAGAGGAGUAUAAUGUAAAAGGAUCUAGGUGCUAAACCAUUCAGGGCUUUAUAAGUAUGUGGCGUUACACAUCUUUGUACUGCCCUUUUGUUCAUUUGACUCCUCCUUCCAACUAAAACAUUUUAGGAUUGGAGGACAGUACUAAUUACGAGGAGUGUGUGUAUAUAGGGGGCACGUUCAAAGACUAAGGAGGAGAGUUUUCUUACUGACCAAUUGCUCCGUGGAUGCAGUCUUUGACGGGUGAAUGCUGGAUCUCGGAGGGUGUUUCCGGAAGCUCGCGAAGAGGGGUUGAUGCUACGCUACCGGGUGGGUCCGUUGCUAACAGGCAAUUCGCAUGGCUGGCGAAUUCUCACAGUUUUAAAAACAAUCUGGAAUUUUGCACCUCCCGAAAUCUUUGAUUUGGAGCUGGAGUGGAGAAGGAGCUAAAAUGGGCUGCCGCCGCCGAGGUUCCGAGGUCACUCACCCCCGUGCUGUUUAUUUGGUCAGUUGCUCUCACUAACCACAGAACCCCACACACACACACACAUACACGCACCUAUUUCAUUUUCAAAUCUUUAAAAAGUGUUUUUUUUAUUUCUUUUCUUGUUUGUUCGAUUUAGUUUCUAUUGGUUAUGGAAAAUUGUGUUGUUUAAUUAUUUGAAAAGUGUCCAUAUUAAUGAUGUCAUCAAAUUAAAGUAAAUCUAAAUUGCCUAGAAUUUCUGUUAUCUUUCUUUUGUACACGGAUGGUUUUGUCAGUCCGGUUGUGCUAUCCGGAAUGAACUAAAUUAAAGUGUGACAGGCAUAUAGUAUAUACCUGUCUGGCGCCCGAACAAUAACUGAUUUGUUAUUUUUUUUCAUUCGAGGCUUUCGGCCUGAGAAACAGGUCAAUGUGAGUGCUGCUGAUGUCACAGGUUACGUGUGGCCUAGCGGUUACGACAUUGCGUCGCCACCUGGGGGACCCGAGUUCGGUUCCCACUAAAAAUUUUUUUUUUUGUUUAUUUUAUUUUAUGGUUAUAUUGUGGGGGACAAAUCAACCACCGUUACAGAAAUGGCGCCCGAACAGGGACUUGAACUAAACACCAACUGAUUAUAACCCUUUGAUAUUAUGUGACUGAAUUGUGAGAAAUGUGAGAAUUUUUUUUUUUUGCGCUGUGACUUUCUUGAAGGAACUGAGUAACUGAAUCUUUGUGAAAAGAAAAUUCAUUUGAUGUGUUAUCUCUGUGCUUUUUGAGUGAAAAUUAAAAUAUUGUGGUGUGCUGAAUAGCCUGACUGGACUGUGGUAACUUAAAUUGAGGAUUUCUAUAAAACCGGAUGUUUUGGAUGUGUAUUGUCUGAUGUUGGAAAAAGUUGUAAAUUGACUGUAUAGAGAAACUCUGUUUUUUUGUUUUGUUUUUUAUUUUUGCCCCUGUUGCCAAAAAACACAUACACUGGCUCUGAAUCUUUCAUUUUUUAUUUUUUCCCAACAUUUCAAAUAGUCCCACAUAUUACAAGACAUGGCCACUUCCCCUUCCCCACCUUCCACCUAUGUGGAUAUUGAUGCCCCUGAUGUCCCUAGUAUUUCCACUCCAAUUUGGCCACCUCCUACACAAACUCAUUCAGGCCUUCUUUCACGUAACCCAAACAUGUAUAACAUUUCCACUCCACAUAGUUUCGUUUUCACUGGAACCCCGGUGAAUGUGCCCGCCCCUGCUCUUGCUCCAGUGCAACCUCUUCCCUGGGCCUCAUCAUAUGACAGCAUGCAACUGUGUACAUCUGGUGAUGUUACAUCUCCUUCAAUGGCUCAGCAUGAUCUGCCAGGAAAUCUUCCAACCCCUGGUAGGGGAAUUCAACAAAUUAAUGCUCAUGUUCAUGAUAAUUGGAACAAUCUAAUGGAAUUCAUGAAAGGACAGGAGAAAACUGUAAAAGAGCUUACCCAGGUACUGAAAACCGCAUCUUCUCACCAUGAAAAUCAGAUUACUGAUCUUGCAGCUAAGGUGGAGACCAACAAUCAACAGGUUGUCACACUAAUGACUGCAGGUAAACAACAAGAGGAAGCGGAGACUGACCAAAUGGUUAAGGCUGUGCAACUGAUGAUGUCAAAGGAGAUUCAAAAAAUGGAACUGUCCCUUACUUCUGUAGUCCGGGAUCAGGUAGAGCAGCUACGUGUGGAGAUCCAACAAGAUAUUAAAGCUAUGCAACGUGCACUUCAGGGUAGCCUUGAUCAGGUAACCACCAAUCUUCAGCAAUGUGAAACACAAAUUCACAAAUGUCGUACUGGUGUAGCUGAGCUGCAACAUGAUGUUCAAGUCUUAAAGGAAGACAAGGCUGAAGUGCAAACAGAAAAAAACACUCACGUUUCUAUUUUUCCCCCAACAGAGAUUGUUUCAACACCUUUCAAAAGUGACCAUAUUAAAUUAACAUUUCCCACUUUUGGGCGUCCUACUGAUGAUGCUGACCCCCUGUUGUACUUGACCAAGUGUCAAGAUUUUCUGGCUCUACAUCGUUUAAAUGAUGCAGAUCUCCUGGCUACCUUCCGCACAGUGUUGCAUGGCACUGCACGCGACUGGUGGGAAGUAAGUCGCUUCCAUAUAAACACUUGGAAGGAGUUUGAGUCUGCAUUUCUCUCUGCUUUUUUGUCGGAGGACUAUGAGGAUGAGCUGGCUGAACGUGUCCGCACUAGAGUUCAAGGGGAGAAAGAAUCAGAAAGAGACUUUGCAUUUACUUAUCGAGCAUUGUGUAAAAGAUGGAAAGCCACCUUAACAGAAAACGAGAUUGUCAAAAUGAUCCUAAAAAAUAUCAAGCCUUACCUUGCAAGUCAGUUACGCAGUCGUGUGAACACUGUCGAAGAUUUGGUAAGACUUGGACACCAAUUGGAAAAAGACCAUGAAGAACAGCUUCGGUAUGAAGGUCGUAUGGGCUUUAAACAACAAGCCAAUUCACAAAAACAAUUAUCCAACCGAUCUGCUGAGAAACCGCUUGUUCAGUGUUGGAGAUGUAAUGGACCACAUCCUCCAGGAAACUGUCCAAAGUAUGUACAUCCUCCUUCUCCGCAGUCUUCUGGUCAACAUCAACAACAUUUCACCCAUGGAAAGUAUUCUCACCACUCUGCAAAGUCAGGAGGCCGACCAUCCAAUAACACUGUAGCAGCCUCUGAAAUACCACAGGUACAAGCAGAAACUCAGAAGAUUCCAAGAUCAAAUGCAUUCAUGACCAUACCUCAACAAUUAGUAGUUCCAAUUAGCAUUGGAUCUUGGUCUGGGAAAGCGAUCGUGGAUACUGGAGCAAGUUAUACGUUAAUUCAUGAGAAUCUUAUGGAGCAAAUUGCAAACCCUCUUCAUCUCCAACCUUGGUCCUGUGGUCCUCUUUACUUAGCUAAUGGCAAAGCUGAGGGUCCUUUGGGAUGGAUAAACAUUAAUGUUCAUCUGCACAAAAAAUCCAUCACAGUACCUGCUGUGGUUCUCCCUUCUCAAGCUCUUGCUUAUGCCAUCAUCUUGGAAUUGGACUUCAUUUUUUUCAGUGGCUUGCAAAUUAAUGUCAGUGAACAAAAAUAUUCUUUUCAGUCAGACCCUUCUGAAGAACAUCCAUUCCAACCUGGAAAUGCUAGUGAACCACUGGUGAACUCACCACUAAUGAAGGAAAAGAAAAGAACUAGCAAUGGCAAACUAAACCUAACCUUGUUAAGUGCUGUUCCUCCUCCCUUAACCAUGUUACAAACUGACAGUGUGGAUGAUGCAACCUUAAUUAGAGAUGCUGUAAGUAAAGCACAUCUACCUAUGGGUGGAAAACAACAGCUACUUCAGAUAUUAGAAAGCAACCCACAAGUAUGUACUCACCAAACUGGGCGAACAGAUGUCCUACAACAUUACAUCUAUACUACCUGCCAGGUUCCUAUCAAACAACGGCCAUAUUGGUUAUCCCCUGUCAAGCAACAAGCAAUGGAGGAACAAUUGGAAGUAAUGUUGAAAGAGGGGAUUGUGGAGCCAUCACAUUCUGCUUGGGCUUCACCUGUAGUUCUGGUUCCAAAGAAAAAUGGAAAGUUAAGAUUCUGUGUAGACUACCGUAAAGUGAAUGGAAUUACUGAAAAUGACGCUUACCCUCUUCCGAACAUCACUGAGAUCCUAGAAUCACUCUCCGGGGCAUCCAUUUUCUCCACUCUAGACCUUAACUGUGGAUAUUGGCAAGUGAUGAUGGACCCUGAUAGUAAAGCCAAGACUGCUUUUAUCGUGUCUGCAGGUCUGUAUCAUUUCAAUGUCAUGCCUUUCGGGUUAAAAAAUGCCCCUGCUACCUUCCAGAGGCUGAUGGAGACAGUCCUGGGGGAGCUAAGAAAGAAAAUAUGCUUUGUCUAUAUUGACGACAUUAUCAUUUAUUCUUCAUCAGUAGUUCAACACUUCUAUGACCUGAAAACUGUUCUCCACAGGCUGGAAACUGCCGGUCUCACUAUUAACUUGAAAAAGUGAAAUUUUUUCCUUCCAAAAAUCACCUUUCUAGGACACGUGGUGAGCAAUAAGGGCAUCACAGCUGAUCCAAGUAAAGUUGAAGCCAUUCGUGCCUUUCCUGCUCCCAACACCUUGAAGGAAGUUCAGAGGUUCUUGGGAUUAGCCGGUUGGUACCACCGGUUUGUGCCAAAUUUUUCUAAAAUUGCUGAGCCCCUCAAUUCCCUGAAAAAAAAGGGACAGGUGUUUAAAUGGACAAAACAGUGUCAGCAAGCGUUUGACCAGUUAAAAGCAUGCCUUACCUCGCCCCCCAUUCUCGGCCACCCUGAUCUGCAAGUCCCGUUCAUUGUUUACACAGAUGCCAGUGAUACUGGACUGGGUGCCAUUCUCUCGCAGAGAAAAGAACUAGGUAGGGAGGAGGUUAUUGCAUAUGCCAGUCGAACAUUAACUGGAGCAGAGAUCAACUACACGGCAACAGAAAAAGAGUGUCUGGCAGUUAUAUGGGCCUUAGAGAAGUGGCAACAUUACCUGGAAUACAAGCUUUUCACGGUUGUCACAGACCAUUCCGCUCUACAAUGGGUCAUGGGAUCCACUAAGACCAACAGCCGCCUCAUCCGAUGGGUCUUAAGAUUGCAAAAAUUCAACUUUGUCAUUGAAUACCGUAAAGGGAAAUUAAACGUCGCCCCUGAUGCUCUGUCCAGGUCAUCAGUCACAGCAAAGACUCCUAUCACAGCACUUUACACCAAGCAACAGACGGAUCAACUUUCAGAGCUUCCAGUGACCGAUAUUGUUCUGUGGGAAGAACAGCAUAAAGACUGUGAAGUAAUAAAGUUGUUACAAGCAGUAGCAGAAGAGCAAAGCCCUCAAACAGACCAAUACGAAGUGGUAGAAGACAAGCUGUAUCACAAAUCUCACCUGAAAAAUGAUCAAAUACACUAUAGAGUGUAUGUUCCCAGCAGUCUCCGGCCAACUCUCCUGCAACAUUAUCAUUCACACCCCCUGAGUGGUCAUAGAGGAAUUUAUAAGACCUAUAAACGACUCCAGGAAGUAACGUUUUGGCCAGGGAUGUGGACGGAUGUGAAACAUCAUGUCAAGGAAUGUGUGAAAUGCCAAACCCUUCGACAUGAUAACCAGAAACCUGCAGGGAAACUCCAAGUAGUUACCACCACUAAACCAAACCAAAUGCUGGGAGUUGAUAUUAUGGGCCCACUACCCCGGAGUACACAGCAAAAUGAGUACUUACUGGUUUUUGUGGAUUAUUACUCACGAUGGGUUGAGUUCUUUCCCAUGCGUAACGCCACCGCUCAGAAUAUUGCAACAAUUCUCAGAAAAGAAAUCUUAACUCAUUGGGGAGUCCCAGACUUCAUUCUCUCUGAUAGAGGCACCCAGUUUGUCUCAUCUGUGUUCAGAGAAGUAUGUGAAAAAUGGAGGGUAACACCGAAGUUAACUACAGCAUAUCAUCCUCAAACAAACAUGACAGAACGAGUAAACAGAACUCUUAAGAGUAUGAUUGCAUCAUAUGUGGAUGAAAACCACACGAAAUGGGACCAGUUCUUACCAGAAAUGAGAUUCGCCAUUAAUUCUGCAAUUCAGGAAACCAUUGGAUUAACUCCUGCAGAAUUGCAGCUUGGAAGGAAACUGGAAGGGCCUAUGGACAAAAUGCUGCAUGGUCCAAAUCUCACUCCUGACACCACCUCCUAUGACGUUGUUUCUCACAUACAACAUCUGCAAUCUCAAGUUAAAGAGAGUAUCAGAAAAGCCCAACAUCGACAACUUCGGAACUAUAACAAAAGAAGACGAGACAGCACUUUCAAGAUCAAAGACCGGGUAUGGCUGCGAAAUUUUCCCCAAUCUAGUGCACAACACAAGUUUAGUGCCAAAUUGGCACCCAAAUGGAAAGGGCCUUACCGGGUUCUGAAGUCACUGGGACCUUUAAAUUAUCGCAUAGCGUUGGAGACCACUGGAGAAGAUGUGCGCACGGCACAUGUGUGCAAUCUUAAAAUGUGUUUUCCCACAGCUGAGCAGUUGGAGGACCAAGCAAAGAAAAGACUUCAAGACAUCUUUCAAGAAACCUCAGAUGAGGAGGAAUUUUUAGGAUUUUGAUUCUUCUUCCAUAACAACCAUGGGUUGUUUCAUCCUGGGGGGGAGAAUGUGGCGUUACACAUCUUUGUACUGCCCUUUUGUUCAUUUGACUCCUCCUUCCAACUAAAACAUCUUAGGAUUGGAGGACAGUACUAAUUACGAGGAGUGUGUGUAUAUAGGGGGCACGUUCAAAGACUAAGGAGGAGAGUUUUCUUACUGACCAAUUGCUCCGUGGAUGCAGUCUUUGACGGGUGAAUGCUGGAUCUCGGAGGGUGUUUCCGGAAGCUCGCGAAGAGGGGUUGAUGCUACGCUACCGGGUGGGUCCGUUGCUAACAGGCAAUUCGCAUGGCUGGCGAAUUCUCACAGUUUUAAAAACAAUCUGGAAUUUUGCACCUCCCGAAAUCUUUGAUUUGGAGCUGGAGUGGAGAAGGAGCUAAAAUGGGCUGCCGCCGCCGAGGUUCCGAGGUCACUCACCCCCGUGCUGUUUAUUUGUCUUGCUGGCUGUAAUCUCACUGGUCCGUGUUGUGAGAGAUUGUCUUCAGCUCUACAAUCCUCAAACUGUGUCCUGAGAGAGCUGGAUCUGAGUAACACUGACCUGCAGGACUCUGGUGUAAAGAUUAUUUCUGAUGGACUGAAGAGUCCAAACUGUCAGCUGAAGAUACUGAGGUAUUUAAUAACAUAUGAUAGAUAAUUUACAGUCAACUGGUCACAGUGUUGAUGUGUGUCUAUAGUUGAUAAGGGUGGAGGAGAGCACUGGUUAUUCACUCCCUCCCUUGAUACUCGAAACCCACAACCGUCAGGUUACAAGUCUGACUUUUAGCAUUCCUGCAAAUUUAGCCAACAACGCUUUAAAAAAGGCCUCUCCAAAUUAAAUAGCUUGCUGUUCUUGAACCAUUUGGAGUAUAUGCAUGUCUCUUUUGAAAGAGGACACUUUGAGGUUUGUACCUGAAGUGUCAGAAUCACUGUAAGUCUUACUGAGUAAUAGAACUUUGAACACACUAAAAAAGGGGGAAGAAAUUUCCGCCUACAUUUUUUUUUUUUGUAAAAACAUGCCUGCAGAUAACUCCAGCUGGGAGGUAUUAGCUGGAAAACACAAUGGGAUCACAGCAUGAAGCCUUACCAAACCCAGUUUAAAAUUUGAUGAUAAUACCUUGGAUAAUGAGUGUUUUACACAUGUUUAUCUAAGUUUAUGUCUAGGCACUCCCCAAAAAAGGCCACUUGGACACCCCAAAUGACCCUUUGUAACCACAGACACAUAACAUGCUGCUAUUCUUGAAUGCUUUACUCUACAGUCAUAAUUUUGGGCUCUAAUGAAAGGUUACACUUAGAGCUAUUAUAUACUUUAUCCAGAUUCACUGUCAGUAAUUGCUGAUACAUAGUAACUGAAGUAUAAACACAUUAUAGUGUUUUUUUUUUUCAAUUCUUGAAACCAAACUUUCUACAAAUAAAGAGACAAAACAACUGCUAUGUAUUAAACACUUUAAUAUUAGAACUCACACUGUAAAUUAUAUAUAUAUAUAUAUCUACUCAAACAUCUACUCAAAAAAAAGUAUGGGUGCUCUACAACAGAUCCCACCUAACGUAACACCCAACACCUAUCAAAUGUUAUUAGCAACAUGCCAAUCAUUAUAACAAUCCCUAUUUGGAAUAAAGCACAAAGGCACAUCGCAGGAGGAGCACUUUACUGGUGUUUUUACCUGGCAGUGUCUGCACCUCAGACGACCUGCAGUGCUGUGUCCACUGAUAUGCACCGGCUUAUGAUGUGCAGUGUGUGGUGUUUGUGAUGGAGCAGGUCUGCCAGCUGCUGCUGCCAGCUCCUCAACUAGUGUCACCCUAAAGGCCUUUUGGUGCAUGGGUACCUGUCCUUUUCCUUUAGUGAUGUCCUUGUAGAGAAGGAAGGCAUUCACUACUGCAAUGUCCAUGAAGUGAUAAAAAAAAGUCUUAUACCACUUCUGGGUCUUGUGGAUGACUUUAUAAUAACUUAUCAGGGCAACCGAUAGGUCCACUCCACCCAUGCACCUGUUUGGACAUAAAAAACAACAACAUUGAGAUACUUUAUUUCAUUUCAAAUAGCAUAAAAGAUUGUUGAUUAUAUAAUACGUACCGGUUGUACUCCUUCACUGCUGGUGGGAUAGAGAUGUCCUUCAACACCCAGCGCCCAUCUGGAUCUCUGACUCUCCUCUGAACCGUGUUCCCCGCAUGGGCUGUGUGGAGUGUGGAACACAUAAACACGUCCCUUGUGUCUCGACACUGAACAAAGAGGAGGGAGUCCUUCCGGAUCCAUCUUAUACUCCCACGCGGAGAUUUAGGAUCGAGAACAUUGAUUUGUUUUUGGAAACCCAAUUCUGCUUGUAGCCUGUGCCAAGCAACUGGGUGUCGAAGGGUCUGAAGGUAGGCUGUGUUGGUGUCACGUCUGGAAUGUCAACAUCAUUCCAUCCAUUUUCAGAAGUGCUGGAAGAAAUUUCAACUUGACUGCUGCUGCUGCCAGAUCUCCCUCUGCCUCUCCCCCUCCCCCGUGCUCUGCCUCUUGGUGUUUUGGUGGUAGAACGUCUCUGGGAAGGUGGAGGAUGGGACUCCUUUCCUGAUGAGGUGCUUUCAUUCUGUCCCUCAGUAUUUUGUUUCUUACUGACUGGCUCCCAGACUUCAUCAGAUUUCAUUUUCAGAUGAUGGUCUGUGAUAUAAAA
This is an RNA transcript of Carassius auratus (goldfish), 9159 nucleotides long. It is a transcript of the gene named NLR family CARD domain-containing protein 3-like, with no coding region annotated. NCBI's taxonomy places the organism in Eukaryota, Metazoa, Chordata, Actinopteri, Cypriniformes, Cyprinidae. The transcript has 2 exons. The record is from RefSeq and is a predicted model, not a curated record.